Molecule: ribosomal RNA, 529 nt
Filed under: Salmonella sp. Sal1216
Lineage: Bacteria; Pseudomonadati; Pseudomonadota; Gammaproteobacteria; Enterobacterales; Enterobacteriaceae
Description: bacterial SSU rRNA
Rfam family: Bacterial small subunit ribosomal RNA
Source: RNAcentral
AUGGAUUCUUGGUCUAGAUUGCACGCUGGCGGCAGGCCUAACACAUAGACAAGUCGGAACGGUAACAGGAAGCAGCUUGCUGCUUUGCUGACGAGUGGCGGACGGGUGAGUAAUGUCUGGGAAACUGCCUGAUGGAGGGGGAUAACUACUGGAAACGGUGGCUAAUACCGCAUAACGUCGCAAGACCAAAGAGGGGGACCUUCGGGCCUCUUGCCAUCAGAUGUGCCCAGAUGGGAUUAGCUUGUUGGUGAGGUAACGGCUCACCAAGGCGACGAUCCCUAGCUGGUCUGAGAGGAUGACCAGCCACACUGGAACUGAGACACGGUCCAGACUCCUACGGGAGGCAGCAGUGGGGAAUAUUGCACAAUGGGCGCAAGCCUGAUGCAGCCAUGCCGCGUGUAUGAAGAAGGCCUUCGGGUUGUAAAGUACUUUCAGCGGGGAGGAAGGUGUUGUGGUUAAUAACCGCAGCAAUUGACGUUACCCGCAGAAGAAGCACCGGCUAACUCCGUGCCAGCCGCCGCGGUAAUUA